Molecule: ribosomal RNA, 225 nt
Filed under: uncultured bacterium
Lineage: Bacteria
Description: partial 16S ribosomal RNA
Rfam family: Bacterial small subunit ribosomal RNA
Source: RNAcentral
UAGGUUACCUGCCCUCUGGUGGGGAAUAACCCGGGGAAACUCGGGCUAAUACCGCAUAUGGUCUACGGAUCAAAGCCUUCGGGCGCCAGAGGAGGGGCCUGCGGCCCAUUAAUUAAUCCUAGUUGGCGAGGUAACGGCUCACCAAGGGUACGAUGGGUAGCUGGUCUGAGAGGAUGAUCAGCCACACUGGAACUGAGACACGGUCCAGACUCCUACGGGAGGCAG